GGCUCUAAGCAAUACCUGCCUACUCAGUUACCUAUAUCUCCAUUGAUGUCGCGCCAGUGUUGGAUGGGGUGCGAGGUUUCUAACCGCUAAGCGAGCUGAAGAUACGGAGCGCCACAUUUCGGGAACUUGUGGCUCGAAAAUCAUUGCAUUUGAACCAUCCACCUGACAAGCAUCAGCAUGUCUACCCCCGACGGGCGCCCUGCCCGGCCUGAUGGAGCAGAUGCAGCAGAAGUUGGUCAAGUACCAGACGUGGCUGAAGAGCCGGCCACAGCAGGGCGCCGACCUGGAAGUCGUCCUGAAGUGGGUCUCCUACUACCUGGCAGGUCGGACCGAGUCGCGCGUCUCGGCCGUCUCCGAGCUCGUCU
Molecule: long non-coding RNA, 365 nt
Organism: Pollicipes pollicipes
Lineage: Eukaryota; Metazoa; Arthropoda; Thecostraca; Pollicipedomorpha; Pollicipedidae
Exons: 3
Source: RefSeq, a predicted model, not a curated record